This 69-nucleotide transfer RNA is filed under the name Ictidomys tridecemlineatus (thirteen-lined ground squirrel). Its description in RNAcentral is "Spermophilus tridecemlineatus (thirteen-lined ground squirrel) tRNA". It matches the Rfam family "tRNA". Rfam says of the family: Transfer RNA (tRNA) molecules are approximately 80 nucleotides in length. Their secondary structure includes four short double-helical elements and three loops (D, anti-codon, and T loops). Further hydrogen bonds mediate the characteristic L-shaped molecular structure. tRNAs have two regions of fundamental functional importance: the anti-codon, which is responsible for specific mRNA codon recognition, and the 3' end, to which the tRNAs corresponding amino acid is attached (by aminoacyl-tRNA synthetases). tRNAs cope with the degeneracy of the genetic code in two manners: having more than one tRNA (with a specific anti-codon) for a particular amino acid; and 'wobble' base-pairing, i.e. permitting non-standard base-pairing at the 3rd anti-codon position. Lineage: Eukaryota; Metazoa; Chordata; Mammalia; Rodentia; Sciuridae. The record is from Rfam by way of RNAcentral.
GGGGUUGUAGCUCAGUGGUAGAGCGCUUGCCUAACAUGUGUGAUGCACUGGGUUCGAUCCUCAACACCA